Molecule: ribosomal RNA, 459 nt
Filed under: uncultured bacterium
Lineage: Bacteria
Description: partial 16S ribosomal RNA
Rfam family: Bacterial small subunit ribosomal RNA
Source: RNAcentral
CCUACGGGGGGCUGCAGUGAGGAAUAUUGGUCAAUGGGCGAGAGCCUGAACCAGCCAAGUCGCGUGAGGGAGUACUGCCCUAUGGGUUGUAAACCUCUUUUGUCGGGGAGCAAAAGCCGGACGUGUCCGGCUGUGAGAGUACCCGAAGAAAAAGCAUCGGCUAACUCCGUGCCAGCAGCCGCGGUAAUACGUAGGGGGCAAGCGUUAUCCGGAUUUACUGGGUGUAAAGGGGGCGCAGAGGGGGGUGCAAGCCAGGAGUGAAAGCCCGGGGCCCAACCCCGGGACAGCGGUUGGAACUGGGUGGCUGGAGUGCGGGAGGGGCAGGCGGAAUGCGUGGUGUAGCGGUGAAAUGCGUAGAUAUCAGGAAGAACACCGGUGGCGAAGGCGGCCUGCUGGACUGCAACUGACGUUGAGGCCCGAAAGCGUGGGGAGCAAACAGGAUUAGAUACCCGGGUAGUC